GGGGUUGUGGCUCAGCGGUAGAGCACUCACCUAGCAUGUGUGAGGCCCUGGGUUCAAUCCUUAGCACCACA
RNAcentral lists this transfer RNA (71 nucleotides) under Marmota monax (woodchuck). RNAcentral describes it as "tRNA.Ala". It matches the Rfam family "tRNA". Rfam says of the family: Transfer RNA (tRNA) molecules are approximately 80 nucleotides in length. Their secondary structure includes four short double-helical elements and three loops (D, anti-codon, and T loops). The record is from RNAcentral. Lineage: Eukaryota; Metazoa; Chordata; Mammalia; Rodentia; Sciuridae.